ACCCGCACAAGCAGCGGAGCGUGUGGUUUAAUUCGUUGCUACACGAAGAACCUUACCUGGGUUUUGACAUAUAGGUUGUAGGGAACUGAAAAGGGACCGACCCUUCGGGGAGCCUAUACAGGUGUUGCAUGGCUGUCGUCAGCUCGUGUCGUGAGAUGUUCGGUUAAGUCCGCUAACGAGCGCAACCCUCGUCGUAUGUUAUAUGUGUCAUACGAGACUGCCGGUAAAAGCCGGAGGAAGGUGAGGAUGAUGUCAAGUCAGCAUGACCUUUAUAUCCAGGGCUACACACACGCUACAAUGGUCUGUACAAUGGGUAGCCAAGCCGCGAGGCGGAGCCAAUCCUGAAAGCAGGCCUCAGUUCAGAUUGCAGUCUGCAACUCGACUGCAUGAAGCCGGAGUUGCUAGUAACCGCAGGUCAGCAAUACUGCGGUGAAUACGUUCCCGGGUCUU
This 450-nucleotide ribosomal RNA is filed under the name uncultured Anaerolineaceae bacterium. RNAcentral's name for it is "bacterial SSU rRNA". It matches the Rfam family "Bacterial small subunit ribosomal RNA", at positions 919 to 1382 of the family's 1533-position model. Lineage: Bacteria; Bacillati; Chloroflexota; Anaerolineae; Anaerolineales; Anaerolineaceae. The record is from RNAcentral.